ACUAAGCGUACACGGUGGAUGCCCUGGCAGUCAGAGGCGAUGAAGGACGUGCUAAUCUGCGAAAAGCGUCGGUAAGGUGAUAUGAACCGUUANNNCCGGCGAUGUCCGAAUGGGGAAACCCAGUGCAAUUCGUUGCACUAUCGUUAACUGAAUACAUAGGUUAACGAGGCGAACCGGGGGAACUGAAACAUCUAAGUACCCCGAGGAAAAGAAAUCAACCGAGAUUCCCCCAGUAGCGGCGAGCGAACGGGGAGCAGCCCAGAGUCUGAAUCAGCUUGUGUGUUAGUGGAACGGUCUGGAAAGUCCGACGGUACAGGGUGAUAGUCCCGUACACCAAAAUGCACAGGCUGUGAACUCGAAGAGUAGGGCGGGACACGUGGUAUCCUGUCUGAAUAUGGGGGGACCAUCCUCCAAGGCUAAAUACUCCUGACUGACCGAUAGUGAACCAGUACCGUGAGGGAAAGGCGAAAAGAACCCCGGCGAGGGGAGUGAAAAAGAACCUGAAACCGUGUACGUACAAGCAGUGGGAGCACCUUCGGGUGUGACUGCGUACCUUUUGUAUAAUGGGUCAGCGACUUAUAUUCUGUAGCAAGGUUAACCGUAUAGGGGAGCCGCAGGGAAACCGAGUCUUAACUGGGCGUUAAGUUGCAGGGUAUAGACCCGAAACCCGGUGAUCUAGCCAUGGGCAGGUUGAAGGUUGGGUAACACUAACUGGAGGACCGAACCGACUAAUGUUGAAAAAUUAGCGGAUGACUUGUGGCUGGGGGUGAAAGGCCAAUCAAACCGGGAGAUAGCUGGUUCUCCCCGAAAGCUAUUUAGGUAGCGCCUCGUGAACUCAUCUUCGGGGGUAGAGCACUGUUUCGGCUAGGGGGUCAUCCCGACUUACCAACCCGAUGCAAACUACGAAUACCGAAGAAUGUUAUCACGGGAGACACACGGCGGGUGCUAACGUCCGUCGUGAAGAGGGAAACAACCCAGACCGCCAGCUAAGGUCCCAAAGUCAUGGUUAAGUGGGAAACGAUGUGGGAAGGCACAGACAGCCAGGAUGUUGGCUUAGAAGCAGCCAUCAUUUAAAGAAAGCGUAAUAGCUCACUGGUCGAGUCGGCCUGCGCGGAAGAUGUAACGGGGCUAAACCAUGCACCGAAGCUGCGGCAGCGACACUAUGUGUUGUUGGGUAGGGGAGCGUUCUGUAAGCCUGCGAAGGUGUGCUGUGAGGCAUGCUGGAGGUAUCAGAAGUGCGAAUGCUGACAUAAGUAACGAUAAAGCGGGUGAAAAGCCCGCUCGCCGGAAGACCAAGGGUUCCUGUCCAACGUUAAUCGGGGCAGGGUGAGUCGACCCCUAAGGCGAGGCCGAAAGGCGUAGUCGAUGGGAAACAGGUUAAUAUUCCUGUACUUGGUGUUACUGCGAAGGGGGGACGGAGAAGGCUAUGUUAGCCGGGCGACGGUUGUCCCGGUUUAAGCAUGUAGGCUGGUUGUCCAGGCAAAUCCGGAUAAUCAAGGCUGAGGUGUGAUGACGAGGCACUACGGUGCUGAAGUAACAAAUGCCCUGCUUCCAGGAAAAGCCUCUAAGCAUCAGGUAACAUUAAAUCGUACCCCAAACCGACACAGGUGGUCAGGUAGAGAAUACCAAGGCGCUUGAGAGAACUCGGGUGAAGGAACUAGGCAAAAUGGUGCCGUAACUUCGGGAGAAGGCACGCUGGUGUGUAGGUGAAGUCCCUGCGGAUGGAGCUGAGACCAGUCGAAGAUACCAGCUGGCUGCAACUGUUUAUUAAAAACACAGCACUGUGCAAACACGAAAGUGGACGUAUACGGUGUGACGCCUGCCCGGUGCCGGAAGGUUAAUUGAUGGGGUUAUCCGUAAGGAGAAGCUCUUGAUCGAAGCCCCGGUAAACGGCGGCCGUAACUAUAACGGUCCUAAGGUAGCGAAAUUCCUUGUCGGGUAAGUUCCGACCUGCACGAAUGGCGUAAUGAUGGCCAGGCUGUCUCCACCCGAGACUCAGUGAAAUUGAACUCGCUGUGAAGAUGCAGUGUACCCGCGGCAAGACGGAAAGACCCCGUGAACCUUUACUAUAGCUUGACACUGAACAUUGAGCCUUGAUGUGUAGGAUAGGUGGGAGGCUUUGAAGCGUGGACGCCAGUCUGCGUGGAGCCAACCUUGAAAUACCACCCUUUAAUGUUUGAUGUUCUAACGUUGGCCCCUUACCGGGGUUGCGGACAGUGUCUGGUGGGUAGUUUGACUGGGGCGGUCUCCUCCCAAAGCGUAACGGAGGAGCACGAAGGUUAGCUAAUCCUGGUCGGACAUCAGGAGGUUAGUGCAAUGGCAUAAGCUAGCUUGACUGCGAGCGUGACGGCGCGAGCAGGUGCGAAAGCAGGUCAUAGUGAUCCGGUGGUUCUGAAUGGAAGGGCCAUCGCUCAACGGAUAAAAGGUACUCCGGGGAUAACAGGCUGAUACCGCCCAAGAGUUCAUAUCGACGGCGGUGUUUGGCACCUCGAUGUCGGCUCAUCACAUCCUGGGGCUGAAGUAGGUCCCAAGGGUAUGGCUGUUCGCCAUUUAAAGUGGUACGCGAGCUGGGUUUAGAACGUCGUGAGACAGUUCGGUCCCUAUCUGCCGUGGGCGCUGGAGAAUUGAGGGGGGCUGCUCCUAGUACGAGAGGACCGGAGUGGACGCAUCACUGGUGUUCGGGUUGUCAUGCCAAUGGCACUGCCCGGUAGCUAAAUGCGGAAGAGAUAAGUGCUGAAAGCAUCUAAGCACGAAACUUGCCCCGAGAUGAGUUCUCCCUGAGACUUUAAGUCUCCUGAAGGAACGUUAAAGACGAUGACGUUGAUAGGCCGGGUGUGUAAGCGCAGCGAUGCGUUGAGCUAACCGGUACUAAUGAACCGUGAGGCUUAACC
This 2891-nucleotide ribosomal RNA is filed under the name Klebsiella pneumoniae. RNAcentral describes it as "bacterial LSU rRNA". It matches the Rfam family "Bacterial large subunit ribosomal RNA". Lineage: Bacteria; Pseudomonadati; Pseudomonadota; Gammaproteobacteria; Enterobacterales; Enterobacteriaceae. The record is from RNAcentral.